Molecule: unclassified non-coding RNA, 670 nt
Filed under: Hevea brasiliensis (rubber tree)
Lineage: Eukaryota; Viridiplantae; Streptophyta; Magnoliopsida; Malpighiales; Euphorbiaceae
Source: RNAcentral
UCUCUCUCUCUCUCUCUCUAUGUCCUGCCCUCCUCUCUUCUCUCUCUGUCUCUCUUGCACAACUUACCAUUCAUUGAUGCAACACCCCAAAACCAAUUCCCUUUAACCAUAGAUCCGCAAGCCAAUACUACAAACCUUUGUCCGCUUUCCUCUACCACAAACCCACAAUCCAAUGCAUUAAGAGAUAGAUAAAACUUCCUCCCUUCCUCUGCUUUCUCUAGUUGUUCUAUCUCAUAACCCAACACCAUUUGAGUUUGCAAGAACAAAGAUCCAGUAAAAAUCCAAUGCCAUUUACUCCUUAAUUUUUAGAAAUGGAUGGAGCAACAAAGGCACCAGAGGAUGGUUCUUUAACAACAACAUGAGGAAGUUGAGGAGAUGAAGCAUGGUCCUUUCCUUGUUUAGAAGCUCCAGGAGAUCAAAAUCUCAAAAAGAUUUUAGCUUUCAAUCCAUUGUCAACCACCUCGCUUUUCGUUUAUUUUAUCAUAUUGAUUAUAUGGACAAUUUGAGAUGUAUGGUGUAAUGGGUCCUUUACAUUUUUCCAUAUUUUACUUAAAAAGGUUUUUGUAAAACUAGUUUUAAUUAUCUUUUUCACACUUCGUUGGGAAUUGAAAUGGGUUCAUUACCUUCAAUUCUCGAAAAUAGAUACCUAUAUUUCUAUAGUUGAAUGGGG